AUGGGCUUGUGGAUGCUGCUGGAGGGUUUUUUGCUUCUUGCAAAUUCUUUGGCGAUCCUGAAUGAAGACCGCUUUCUUGGCCCCAGGGGAUGGAGCAUGUCUGAAGUUUCAGGAAACGGGCAAACAAAGUCGUUGAAGGGGCAGAUUGUGGGGCUCAUCUACGCCACUCAGUUUUUGCGGAUGCCCUUGAUAGCGCUUAAUGUUCUUAUCAUUGUUGUGAAAAUGGUGUCAGGCUGA
Molecule: ribosomal RNA, 237 nt
Filed under: Triticum aestivum (bread wheat)
Lineage: Eukaryota; Viridiplantae; Streptophyta; Magnoliopsida; Poales; Poaceae
Description: partial small subunit ribosomal RNA
Source: RNAcentral